Molecule: ribosomal RNA, 944 nt
Filed under: uncultured eukaryote
Lineage: Eukaryota
Description: SSU rRNA
Rfam family: Eukaryotic small subunit ribosomal RNA
Source: RNAcentral
UAUCGGAAUGGGUACCAUUUAAACCCUUUAACGAGGACCUAUGAGAGGGCAAGUCUGGUGUCAGCAGCCGCGGUAAUUCCAGCUCUCAAGGUGUAUAUCGCCCUUGCUGCGGUUAAAAAGCUCGUAGUUGGAUCUGCGCCUUCGGACUCGGUCCGCCCAACGGGUGUGAACUGGGAUCCAAGGCUUAUACUGCUGGUUUUCCCUUGAUGCUCUUUACUGGGUGUCUUGGGUGGCUAGCGAGUUUACUUUGAAAAAAUUAGAGUGCUUAACACAGGCUAACGCCUGAAUACUCGUGCAUGGAAUAAUAGAAUAAGACCACGGUUCUAUUUUAUUGGUUUUCGGAACUGUGAUAAUGGUUAAGAGGGACAGACGGGGGCAUUCGUAUCGCUGCGUGAGAGGUGAAAUUCUUGGACCGCAGCGAGACGCCCUACUGCGAAAGCAUUUGCCAAGAAUGUCUUCGUUAAUCAAGAACGAAAGUCAGAGGUUCGAAGGCGAUCAGAUACCGCCCUAGUUCUGACCGUAAACGAUGCCAACUAGCGAUCCGCCGGUGGUAAUUACGCCCCGGCGGGGAGCUUCCCGGAAACGAAAGUCUUCCGGUUCCGGGGGAAGUAUGGUUGCAAAGCUGAAACUUAAAGGAAUUGACGGAAGGGCACCACCAGGAGUGGAGCCUGCGGCUUAAUUUGACUCAACACGGGAAAACUCACCCGGCCCGGACACCGUAAGGAUUGACAGAUUGAGAGCUCUUUCUUGAUUCGGUGGUUGGUGGUGCAUGGCCGUUCUUAGUUGGUGGAGCGAUUUGUCUGGUUUAUUCCGAUAACGAACGAGACUCUGGCCUACUAAAUAGAGACAGAAUUAUUACUGUUCUGGAUUCUUCUUAGAGGGACAAGUGGUUUUCAGCCACACGAAAUUGAGCAAUAACAGGUCUGUUAUGCCCAAUCACUAGU